This 764-nucleotide ribosomal RNA is filed under the name uncultured archaeon. RNAcentral's name for it is "bacterial SSU rRNA". It matches the Rfam family "Archaeal small subunit ribosomal RNA", at positions 114 to 879 of the family's 1478-position model. The record is from RNAcentral.
UAAGAAAUUUCGGGAUACCCCGGGAACUGGGGAUAAUACCGGAUAGAUCAUCUCGGCUGGAAGGCGGGGUGGUUGAAACUUCCGGGGCUUUUGGAUGGGUCUGCGGCUGAUUAGGUUGUUGCCGGUGUAACGUACCGUCAAGCCUGUAAUCAGUACGGGUUGUGGGAGCAAGAGCCCGGAGAUGGAUUCUGAGACACGAAUCCAGGCCCUACGGGGCGCAGCAGGCGCGAAAACUCUACAAUGCAGGCAACUGCGAUAGGGGAACAUCGAGUGGCAUCCAUAUUGGGUGUCUGUCCACCCGCCUAAAAAGCGGGUGUUAGCAAGGGCCGGGCAAGACCGGUGCCAGCCGCCGCGGUAAUACCGGCGGCUCGAGUGGUGGCCGAUAUUAUUGAGUCUAAAGGGUCCGUAGCCGGCUUUGCAAGUCUCUCGGGAAAUCCAGCGGCUUAACCGUUGGUCGUCCGGGGGGUACUACAUUGCUUGGGACUGGGAGAGGUAGGAGGUACUCAGGGGGUAGGAGUGAAAUCCUGUAAUCCUUUGGGGACCACCGGUGGCGAAGGCGUCCUACCAGAACAGGUCCGACGGUGAGGGACGAAAGCUAGGGGCACGAACCGGAUUAGAUACCCGGGUAGUCCUAGCCGUAAACGAUGCUCGCUAGGUGUCACAACAGUCGUGAACUGUUGUGGUGCCGUAGGGAAGCCGUGAAGCGAGCCACUUGGGAAGUACGACCGCAAGGUUGAAACUUAAAGGAAUUGGCGGGGGAGCAC